Molecule: unclassified non-coding RNA, 202 nt
Filed under: Hevea brasiliensis (rubber tree)
Lineage: Eukaryota; Viridiplantae; Streptophyta; Magnoliopsida; Malpighiales; Euphorbiaceae
Source: RNAcentral
ACUCACUACACAUCUCAAUUUUCAAAUACUGAUUAAAGCUUUGCAUCUAGGAUUUCUACACCGAAAAGAAAAAUCUUGUACAUCCAAAUGUCUGCCAGAUAUUUUACCUAUAUUGUCCCUCUUAAUUUGUUUAUCAUAUUAUUUUGUUUUAGUUAUUGUUCCUUUUUCAGUAUGCCUUUGCCAUGCCUUAUGUAGUAUUUCG